GACGAACGCUGGCGGCGUGCUUAACACAUGCAAGUCGAACGGUGAAGCUCCAGCUUGCUGGAGUGGAUCAGUGCCGAACGGGUGCGUAACACGUGAGCAACCUGCCCCAGACUCUGGAAUAAGCGCACGAAACGGCGCCUAAUACUGGAUACGAGAUCAAGUCGCAUGGUUAGGGUGUGGUAUGUUAUCCGGUCUGGGAUGGGUUCGCGGCCUACCGGCUUGUUGGUGAGGUAAUGGCUCACCAAGGCGACGACGGGUAGCCGGCCUGAGAGGGCGACCGGCCACACUGGGACUGAGACACGGCCCAGACUCCUACGGGAGGCAGCGGUGGGGAAUAUUGCACAAUGGGCGAAAGCCUGAUGCAGCGACGCCGCGUGAGGGAUGACGGCCUUCGGGUUGUAAACCUCUUUCAGCAGGGAAGAAGCGAAAGUGACGGUACCUGCAGAAGAAGCACCGGCUAACUACGUG
This 468-nucleotide ribosomal RNA is filed under the name uncultured bacterium. RNAcentral describes it as "partial 16S ribosomal RNA". It matches the Rfam family "Bacterial small subunit ribosomal RNA", at positions 28 to 507 of the family's 1533-position model. The record is from RNAcentral.